Molecule: long non-coding RNA, 1263 nt
Filed under: Pan troglodytes (chimpanzee)
Lineage: Eukaryota; Metazoa; Chordata; Mammalia; Primates; Hominidae
Description: lncRNA (ENSPTRG00000054406.1)
Source: RNAcentral
AUACAUUUGAAACAUUAGAUUAUCUGAAUUUUAUUUUAAAAGUGAACAAUAAUUCUGUUCAAUUAUUAAAUAAGCUUUUUUAAUUUUUUUUUUUUUUUUUUUUUUUUUUGGCGGAGAGAAGAAUUGGCAAGUAACAAACCAAGCAAGAAUUUCAAUGGAAAAUUACAGAGAUACUAACAGGUUUGAGUACUUAUAAAUACAAAAUAAAUAAACGGAGUUAAAUUACUUUAUUAUUACAAUGCAGAAAUGAGGAAGUGUAAUAGCCAGCUAGUCUUGGAAUAUGGCACUGUGAAUGAAAUGAUUAAUUGCAUAUUCAUCUGGUCUCAGAUACAGGACAUUCUCUUGCAUAGGUUAAAUGUAUUAAUGGUAGAGAAUUAUGCAAAAAAUACUCAUUUUCUCCAAUACCAGAACAUACAGGAAGCAAGUAAAGGUAAUUUCACAAUUCAUCUAAUUUCUUGUACUACUAAAGAAAAGUAAAACUUGAGGAUCAGUAGUGGCCAUGGUAUGGUUUGACUAUGUCCCCUCCAAAAUCUAGUGUUGAAACUUAAUGACCAUUGUGAUGGUAUUAAGAGGUGAUUGAGUUGUAAGAGCUCCUUCCCUCAUGAUACGAUUAAGUCCCUCAUAAAAGAGGGCUCAAGCAACAUUAGAUUUUCUUGUGUCUGAAGCUAUGUGAAGCCAGAUGAGGACACAGUGUUCUUGUCUUCCGGAAAAUAUAGCAAGAAGGCAUAAUGUUGGAAGCAGAGAGUAGCCUUUGCCAGACAACAGAUCCUACUGGUGCCUAGAUCUUGGACAUCCAGCCUCCAGAACUGUGAAAAAAAUAAAUUUAUGUUCUUCAUAAAUUAUUUGGUCUCAGAUAUUGUGUUAUAAUAGCACAAAAUGGAGUAAGGCACCAUUAGUUUUUUAUUGGUGUGGAAACUGUAGCUGAAUAGGUUUGCUGAUUUAUUUCCAGAAACAUACGACUAAUGGAAGUUUUCAUUCUUAACGAAACAGUCUUUCCCCUGUAUUAUUUUCUACAUUCCCAAUCCAGAGGUAUAAUGAUAACAGGAUCACACUUCUAGGACAUAGAUCUUAAAUGCAUGUUUUGCUCAAAACUACAUUUUCAAAAAUAAAAAAAAAAAACGAUGUUUUGCAUCUUCUAAGAUCUAAGAAUAUUAUCUGUGAAAAUAAAUUGCUUAUGUGCUUGACAAUUUAGUACCACAUUGUAAAACCAUCUUAUAGACUAGUGAUAAAAAAGAACAAUUGAUAAGUAAAACAUUUUAGUAC